This is a non-coding RNA of Cygnus olor (mute swan), 647 nucleotides long. Lineage: Eukaryota; Metazoa; Chordata; Aves; Anseriformes; Anatidae. The record is from the annotation of a RefSeq genome assembly.
GCAGAACGAGGACAGGGCCCCGUUGCCCAAAUGCCCCGGCCGGGCGCAGCGAGUGUGUCCAGGGCACCUGAGGUGUGGGCGAGCACCGCGAGGAGGAGAGGGGCCCAGGCCAUGGCGAGAUCCCACCAGCUGCGCGUCCCCACGCCGACGGGGCUGUGCCGCGGACCCCGACUCCCUCUUAAACCCCUGCCCGGCCGCAGCACGGCCCCUCCAUGCAAAUGCGGCCCCGCGCUCUCGGCCACACCUCAGGUUCUCUGGUCCAGGCAGCGAUUACUCAGCCGGCCUCGAAGUCGGCGAACCCAGGAGACACCGUGCAGAUCACCUGCUCCGGGAGUGAAGAUGGUUAUGGCUGGCACCAGCAGAAGACCCCUGGCAGUGCCCCUGUCACCGUGAUCUAUGCCAGCAGCAACAGACCCUCGGGCAUCCCUUCACGAUUCUCUGGUUCUACAUCUGGCUCCACAGCCACGUUAACCAUCACUGGUGUCCAAGCCGAGGACGAGGCCGUCUAUUACUGUGGGAGCUCCGACAGCAGUGGUGGUGUUUCAGUGGCGCAGGGAGAUGUGGUCCGGAAGCUGGUGGUGGCCUCCAGUUAUCCUACUCCGCUUUUCCUGGGUGACCACUUUGGCAGAUGAAGUCUUAACCUUCAG